GGAAUAACCCAGAUGUUUCAAUAACAGCUUUCAAUGCAUCUUGGUUGCUCGCCACCAGUCUGUCACAUUGUUGCUGGGUGACUUUUUGUCUCUCCUGGCACACAAACUCAAGCAGCUCGGCUUUGUUUGAUGGCUUGUGACCAUCCAUCUUCCUCUGGAUCACAUCCAGUGGGGUUCCAACUGUUACAUGACAGGGUCUUGAUCUGGUCUUCCUCCAUUCACACCUGAAUUGAGCUGAGGGUGGGUUUAUCCAGCAGGACAAUGCUCCAUGCCCCACAGCCAGGUCAAUCCAGAUGUGAUCCAGAGGAAUAUGAAUGGUCACAAGCCAUCACUCAAAGCCAAGCUGCUUGAUUUUUUUGUGCCAGGAGUGGCUUAAUAAGUGACCCAACAGCAAUGUGAAAGGUGUUGCAGAGCAGCCAAGACGCAUGAAAGCUGUGAUUGCAAAUCUGGGUUAUUCCACCAAUUAUUGAUUCCUGAGCCCUUCCUAUGUUAAAACAUUAGUAUUGUGUUGUUGAAAAAUGAAUUUUAAAUUGUUUUCUUUGCACUAUUCAAGGUCUGAAAACACUCCAUCUUUUUUGGUUACUUUGAACAUUUGGUAUUUUUUGUAAAUAAACGCUCUAAAUGAGAAUAUUUGGAGUUUGGGAUAAAUGUAGUCAGUCAUUCAUUUAUAGAAUAAAAUACAAAUGUUAAUCCAGUUUUUACCAAUAGUAAAACGAGAGGAACUGAUAAUUUUACAGAGGUCUCUUAAUUUUUUCAGAGCUCUACAUAAAUAUAUAGAUCUAUAUAUCUAUUUUUAUAUAUAUAUUAUAGAUAUAACUAUAUCUUUAUAUAUAGAGAGAUUGCUAUUGUUUCAUGUGAAAAAUGUUCUCAGGAAAAUGUAUGGUACAAUAUUUUGCCACAGUUUGUAUAGGAAGCUCAAUUUCAUUGUAACCAAAUGAAACACUCAAGUUUUAAUAAAAGGUAAAACUUUAUUUUUGUGUCUUUUUUCUUUUUUGUAGUUGACGGAAUAAAAAAUAUAAAUACGAAAUGUAACCACUUUCAACUAAAAAUUCUAAGUUAAAUAAUUGGAAAAAACCAAUUGAUAUUACACUAUUUUAAGUAAAAUCAACUUCACAUGAAGUGCAUUGUACUUCAAAUAACAAUUCCAGUCCUUGAAUAAUUUAAGUUUAAUUUACUCAAGUUUUCCUAAUGCGUUACUUAAAAAAAUAGAAAGUGGUUGACUUAAAAAUGUAAGUAAAAUCAACUUGACAUGAAGUGGAUUGUACUUCAAAUAACAAUUAAAGUCCUUGAUUAAUUUAAGUUUAAUUUACUCAAGUUUUCAUAAUGCUUUACUUAAAUUUAAAGGCAACCACUUUACGCUAUUUUUUUAAGUAGAUUCAACUUAUCCGGGCUUACAGUGAAGAGAUUCAGGACUCCACAUCAAAUCCUUCAAAACGAAUCAGAGUUCCAAGGAUCCAAGAAGAGUUUUUGAUUUGAUCAUUGUGAAGGGACAUCCACAGAAAUGGAUGCUCUAAAAAAGAAAUCGGUAUGUUUUUCUUAUUUUUAAGGAAAAUGUUCUGAAAAAUUCAUCUUCUGCUUCUUCCUCUUCUUCUUCUUCUUCCUGGUGCAUGCUGGGAGAUUUUCGGAGGGUGAAAGAAAGAGAAGACUGGUUGUGGACUUAAAGGGAACCACUUCCUGGCCUUCCUGACAUCCAGGAAAAAGGUGAGAUUCAAAUCCAUGUUAAUGCCAGAAGCAAUUUAUUGUUUUUAACUUUUUAAAUAUGAUUUGGGGCAUUUCAGUUUAAUUGGAAAGAGGCAGAUCUACUGGAAACAGUGGAGAGGGAGGAGAUGAUAUGCAGCAAAAGGCCCACCCGGAUGGUUGCUGCUCCGUGUGGAACGUGUUCUAUCAGAAAGGAUCAUGCCAGCCCACAUCAAACACCUGAUCAAGAACUUGUGAAUCUUCAGGCAGAACAGAUGAAAACACCUGUUCAAAGUUCCAGUUCCCUACAUGGAACCAUGCCUGGGACUCUGUUCCACAUGUCUUCAGUCAGUCCUGGACCCUAUGACUAGGACACUAGUUCUACCAAGGCUUAUUAGAGAUAAUACAGCUGCACAAUUACAACAGGAACUCAUCUUUAGACGGUUAAUACAGAAGAUCUGCUACAUUGGAGGAUUCCAAAGCUGAGCUGGAAGGGGAAGUCACCACCUACAGGACAGCAAAUCUAAACAUUCAUUUGGAUAAACUAUUAAACCAGGUAUUUUCACAAAAAGAACAAUCUGAGAUACCUGAACAGCGUGAGCCGGCACCUGGACACCCACACACCCCAAUAAUUCCCCUUCAAAGAGCGAGCCACAUGGGAAGAUUGUUGUCAUUCACUUGCAAGGGGAGAUUCCAGUGCGUCCAGAGGUCUGGGCAAAAAUAAAAAACAACACGAGGGACUCCAUGUUCGUGAAGGAGUUGGCUGUGGCGUUUUGGGGCACCGACACCUUAGGGGAAAGGAGCCUGACUGGAAAGGAAUGCCCCACCACCAAGACCACCAGGCAGCCUCUAUCAAUUUGCUUCAAGCAGUGGCUGUACGAGAAAUACGUGGAGGACCAAUAAAUGCUGGCCGGAUUGGCAAAGACCGGAAGAUACAUAACAGAGAAGAUAAUGGAUAUCAACAAGAAGAAAAAAAAAAAAACUUUAAAAAAAAUGUUUUAUAAUUUAUUUGUUGCUAUUUACAUGUUGAAUUAUAUUUGUUAUUUCUAAAUCAAAUGCAUCUAUUAUAGAUGAUAUAUUUAUUUAGACGUAGGUUUUUUUUGUAAUAUUAUUG
Gymnodraco acuticeps is the source of this 2791-nucleotide long non-coding RNA. RefSeq lists it as uncharacterized. The transcript is spliced from 7 exons. The record is from RefSeq and is a predicted model, not a curated record. NCBI's taxonomy places the organism in Eukaryota, Metazoa, Chordata, Actinopteri, Perciformes, Bathydraconidae.